RNAcentral lists this ribosomal RNA (497 nucleotides) under uncultured bacterium. RNAcentral describes it as "partial 16S ribosomal RNA". It matches the Rfam family "Bacterial small subunit ribosomal RNA", at positions 28 to 507 of the family's 1533-position model. The record is from RNAcentral.
GACGAACGCUGGCGGCGUGCCUAAUACAUGCAAGUUGAGCGCUGAAGGUUGGUACUUGUUUCGCUGGGAUGAGCAGCGGACGGGUGAGUAACGCGUGGGGAAUCUGCCUUUGAGAGGGGGAUAACUUCUGGAAACGAAAGCUAAUACCGGAUAAUAAUUUUAAACACAAGGUUUAAGAUUGAAAGAUGCAAUUGCAUCACUCAAUGAAGAUAUCGCGUUGUAUUUGGUAGUUGGUGAAGGAAAGGCUCUCCAAAGCGAUGAUACAUAGCCGACCUGGGAGGGUGAUCGGCCAAAUUGGGACCUAGAAACGGCCCAAACUCCUACGGGAGGCAGCAGUAGGUAAUCUUCCGCAAUGGACGAAAGUCUGACCGAGCAACGCCGCGGGAGUGGAGAAGGUUUUCGGAUCGGAAAACUCUGUUGAUAGAGAAGAACGUUAUUGAGAAUGAAAAGCUCAUCAAGUGACGGUAACUACCCAGAAAGCGACGGCUAACUACGUG